UACGUAGGGUGCAAGCGUUAAUCGGAAUUACUGGGCGUAAAGCGUGCGCAGGCGGUCUGCUAAGACAGGUGUGAAAUCCCCGGGCUUAACCUGGGAACUGCGCUUGUUACUGGCAGGCUGGAGUGUGGCAGAGGGGGGUGGAAUUCCACGUGUAGCAGUGAAAUGCGUAGAGAUGUGGAGGAACACCGAUGGCGAAGGCAGCCCCCUGGGCUAACACUGACGCUCAUGCACGAAAGCGUGGGGAGCAAACAGG
Molecule: ribosomal RNA, 253 nt
Filed under: uncultured bacterium
Lineage: Bacteria
Description: partial 16S ribosomal RNA
Rfam family: Bacterial small subunit ribosomal RNA
Source: RNAcentral